This is a long non-coding RNA of Canis lupus familiaris (dog), 2731 nucleotides long. RefSeq lists it as uncharacterized. NCBI's taxonomy places the organism in Eukaryota, Metazoa, Chordata, Mammalia, Carnivora, Canidae. The transcript has 3 exons. The record is from RefSeq and is a predicted model, not a curated record.
UUUUGAUGUCAUAAUUGUCAGGCGGCCAGAGCUGUGUCCCCGCCCGCCCUCAGCAGAGGACCCCCCAGGAGCCCAGCAUCUGGCCUGCAGCCUGCGGGAGCUCAGCUGAGCAUGCUUGGAACACACUCUGGAAACUUCUCACCAAACUCUGCUCUGGAGUUCCUAACCCUCCCCACCCCGUUUGGUGAGAUUGUUCCGAGUGCGUUGGGCGGACCUUCUCAGCACUCAUAUGUAGAAAGCAUUUCUCUGGGUGGCAGGAGAAGUGUCCCCCUUCACUGGCUUCCCUGAACCAUGUGGGUCUUUUGGAACUUGUGCCAAAUCCACCUCCUGGUGGCUUCACCCCAGCCAGGCCCACAGUCUGGAACUCCUUGGGGGGCUCUGCACUGGUGGCCUGCCAGCUCUCUGGUUCCAGGGGAGAGUGGCCUCUGCCUUUCUGGGGCAUUCUGGGAAACUCUGGGGCCCUGCAGGGAGCCUCAGGGGACAUUGCCUAGGAGACGUGUAUAUGUGGGCUUGACAUAGAAGGGGGCACCUUUGCUGUGAACUGUUUAUCGGAGGGUACCAGCAAGGAUGGAGGGGUCGGUCUGUCCAGCAGGGUUUCACUGAGCCCUGAGCCCCUGCUACGGGCUAGAUGCUACGGAAUGAGAGAAGCAGGACACACGGGCUGAAGGACCAUGAUUGGGGCAGCCAGAGGGUGCGAAUGCUGUGACUUACCCACUCCUCUGAGAUGAACACAUUAUUGUUUUACUUAUCACUGUGCCAGAAAGAAUGCUGCCCCCGAGGCCGACGCUCCACCCACUGUAAGCUUCCUCCUGAUUGCAGAGAGGUUACAGUGAGAAACAGAGUCUGGGCCUUCAGGGCAGUGAGAUGCUGGGACGUGCGUAUGAUGAUGAUGAUGAUGAUGAUCAGAAGUAGCAGUGACAGCUGCCACAUAUUAGAUGAUGGAUGAGACAGUCUCUUACCCUGUGCAUGGGACUCUAACAGGGGAGUGAGGGAAGUUGGCACUCCUCUUUCCUGCUGGGCCCCGUCGGGGGUCCCACUCAGCCAGGACCCAGGCCCUCAUUGGGUUCCAUGCAACGACACAGCCACACUCAGGACCAGCCGUUAGGGAGCCAUGUCCCUUGAGAUAGAUGCCUCUUGCUUCUGUCACCUCCAGGUCCAGUGCUGGUAGCAGGGAGCAGUUUCGCUGACAGGCUGGCUCUGUGGCAUCCAGGUGCCCAGGGCUCUGGGGCGUCACAGAAUUCCUCGUGAUUCUGGCUGUGGUGGCACCAGGGCCCUAAUCAAGCAGAACACGGCGUCAGCAGAAGCUGGCAGCUGCAUGGCUCAGGGGCCCUGGCUGGUGGCGGGAGGGGGCAGGAGCAGGGCUAGGCUGUGCCCCUCUGCCUCCCCACCGCCCUGCAGACCUGGGAACCUUUCUGCUCGGGGGAGAGAGAGAGACAAGGACAGGAGACACUUGCCUCCCAGAUUUUUCCCCUUCUGAAGGGCUUCUCUGCUCUGACUCAUCUGCCCCUCCCGGCCAUCCAUACGGAAGGGGUGAUGUAAGUACUGCAUCACCCCUCUGGUACCGAUGGGGAAACCGAGGCUGCAGGUGGGGUCAUGCUGGUCUGUUCUCGGUAGGUGGGUGGUGCAGUUUGGCUAGGUGCUCUGAAGUCACACCACCCCCACCCCUGCCCACCAUGUGGUCCCUCUCUGAGCCUCAGGCCCCUCACCCAUACACAAGGACAGUCUUAGGACUUUCCUCAUAGGGACAUAAGCAGGCAGAGUCCCUAGUGGAGGGCCUGGCAAGCAGUCAAAACUCCAGAAGUGGUGACUAGCUACUGGGAGCAGAGGAAGCAGGAGAGGAAGGGAUCUGAGGCCCCGCUGACAGCCCUGGCCUCAAGGGCCCAUGGAAUGAACAUGCCCUGUGCCCCUUGCCCUCGGAAAGCCAUUGGGCCAUGCAUAUCCUGCAUCAGGAACUCCUGAUUAAUCUCCCAUGAACCUUGGUGCCGACUGUGGAGAAUCCAGGCCCUGUUCAGGAUGACCAUCGCCACCAUGCUGUGGCCUUUUGUCUAAGAGGAGGGAGGGUGGGGGAUGGGAGACCUGGAAGUAGAGCCUGGAGCACCUGGGAUCUGAACUCCCUUCACUCCUCCCUGGGAUCCCACUGCCCCUCCUCCGAGAGAUGAAGGGGACAUGUAGACGGAUGGUGGAUGGUCCUUUCUGGACUCCUGGACCCGAGAACACCCACGUUGGCAUUUGGUGGCAGUCAGCAGUUUCUCCCCCAGUCCUCUGCAUUCCAGAGAGCUGAGCUGUGGACCUCAAACACGCAGGGGUCUGGACUCUGUUAGUGGAAUGAGGCAGAGGAUCAGUAACUCAUCAGACUCUGACCGGGUUACGUGGUUCCCAAAAGGUAAAGAGCCACUGUUACAGGUUCACUGACCUGUAUACAUGCUUGAAAGCACCAUGUACACGAGCUGGCUCUUUGUUAUUCCUUGAAAUCACCCCACUUGUUCCCACCAUCAUGUCUUGACAUCCUGAGCAGCACCAUGGCUGGCAGAAGCAGCGUUGGCAAGAUCAAAGUGUUAGAGAAGACAGGAGCUGGGGGAGUGGGAAGGACAACGAAGAUAGUGUUAUGUAUAUGUCCCUGAAAACCGCUGUAAAUAAAAGUUCUAGGAGACAUCUCUGCCAAACCAAACCAGCUUUGCCCACAUUUAAAAACCAGCUCUAGUUGAGAACCUUUUCCUAAAUUAUGUUCUUC